Molecule: ribosomal RNA, 301 nt
Filed under: uncultured bacterium
Lineage: Bacteria
Description: partial 16S ribosomal RNA
Rfam family: Bacterial small subunit ribosomal RNA
Source: RNAcentral
CAGUCGCCGCGGGAAUACGAAGGGGGCUAGCGUUGCUCGGAAUGACUGGGCGUAAAGGGCGCGUAGGCGGCGGCCAAAGUCAGGCGUGAAAUUCCCGGGCUCAACCUGGGGGCUGCGUUUGAUACUUGGUUGCUUGAGUGGGGAAGAGGGUCGUGGAAUUCCCAGUGUAGAGGUGAAAUUCGUAGAUAUUGGGAAGAACACCGGUGGCGAAGGCGGCGACCUGGUCCUUUACUGACGCUGAGGCGCGAAAGCGUGGGGAGCAAACAGGAUUAGAUACCCGAGUAGUCCCUGUCUCUUAUAC